CAAUAGCGUAUAUUAAAGUUGUUGCGGUUAAAAAGCUCGUGGUUGGAUUUCUGCUGAGAACGACCGGUCCGCCCUUUGGGUGUGUAUCUGGCUCUUUCUUGGCAUCUUCUUGGUGAACGUUGCUGCACUUGACUGUGUGGAGCGCUACCCAGGACUUUUACUUUGAGGAAAUUAGAGUGUUUCAAGCAGGCAUACGCCUUGAAUACAUUAGCAUGGAAUAAUAAGAUAGGACCUCGGUUCUAUUUUGUUGGUUUCUAGAGCUGAGGUAAUGAUUAAUAGGGAUAGUUGGGGGCAUUCGUAUUUAACUGUCGGAGGUGAAAUUCUUGGAUUUGUUAAAGACGGACUACUGCGAAAGCAUUUGCCAAGGAUGUUUUCAUUGA
RNAcentral lists this ribosomal RNA (380 nucleotides) under uncultured eukaryote. RNAcentral's name for it is "partial 18S ribosomal RNA". It matches the Rfam family "Eukaryotic small subunit ribosomal RNA", at positions 592 to 976 of the family's 1831-position model. The record is from RNAcentral.